This 543-nucleotide ribosomal RNA is filed under the name uncultured bacterium. RNAcentral's name for it is "bacterial SSU rRNA". It matches the Rfam family "Bacterial small subunit ribosomal RNA", at positions 31 to 614 of the family's 1533-position model. The record is from RNAcentral.
GAACGCUGGCGGCAUGCUUAAUACAUGCAAGUCGCACGGGCAGGGGCAACUCUGUCAGUGGCGGACGGGUGAGUAACGCGUAGGUAUCUAUCCUGAGGUGGGGGACAACCGUGGGAAACUACGGCUAAUACCGCAUGAUGCCCGAGGGCCAAGGGCGCAAGUCGCCUUGGGAGGAGCCUGCGUCCGAUUAGCUUGUUGGUGGGGUAACGGCCUACCAAGGCUCCGAUCGGUAGCUGGUCUGAGAGGAUGAUCAGCCACACUGGGACUGAGACACGGCCCAGACUCCUACGGGAGGCAGCAGUAGGGAAUAUUGGACAAUGGGCGAAAGCCUGAUCCAGCAAUGCCGCGUGGGUGAAGAAGGUCUUCGGAUUGUAAAGCCCUUUCGGCGGGGACGAUGAUGACGGUACCCGCAGAAGAAGCCCCGGCUAACUUCGUGCCAGCAGCCGCGGUAAUACGAAGGGGGCUAGCGUUGCUCGGAUUGACUGGGCGUAAAGGGCGCGUAGGCGGCUUGUACAGUCAGACGUGAAAUUCCUGNGCUUAACC